RNAcentral lists this transfer RNA (73 nucleotides) under Felis catus (domestic cat). It matches the Rfam family "tRNA". Rfam says of the family: Transfer RNA (tRNA) molecules are approximately 80 nucleotides in length. Their secondary structure includes four short double-helical elements and three loops (D, anti-codon, and T loops). Further hydrogen bonds mediate the characteristic L-shaped molecular structure. tRNAs have two regions of fundamental functional importance: the anti-codon, which is responsible for specific mRNA codon recognition, and the 3' end, to which the tRNAs corresponding amino acid is attached (by aminoacyl-tRNA synthetases). tRNAs cope with the degeneracy of the genetic code in two manners: having more than one tRNA (with a specific anti-codon) for a particular amino acid; and 'wobble' base-pairing, i.e. permitting non-standard base-pairing at the 3rd anti-codon position. The record is from Rfam by way of RNAcentral. Lineage: Eukaryota; Metazoa; Chordata; Mammalia; Carnivora; Felidae.
GCCUGGCUGGCUCAGUCAGAAGAGCACGUGACUCUUGAUCUCGAGGUUGUGAGUUCAAGCCCCACACUGGGGG